This 484-nucleotide ribosomal RNA is filed under the name uncultured bacterium. Its description in RNAcentral is "partial 16S ribosomal RNA". It matches the Rfam family "Bacterial small subunit ribosomal RNA", at positions 28 to 523 of the family's 1533-position model. The record is from RNAcentral.
GACGAACGCUGGCGGCGUGCUUAACACAUGCAAGUCGAACGAUGAAGCCGGAGCUUGCUCUGGUGAAUUAGUGGCGAACGGGUGAGUAACACGUGAGUAACCUGCCCUUGACUCUGGGAUAACUGCUAGAAAUGGUAGCUAAUACCGGAUACGACCCUCGGCGGCAUCGCCAGGGGGUGGAAAGAAUUUCGGUCAAGGAUGGACUCGCGGCCUAUCAGGUAGUUGGUGAGGUAACGGCUCACCAAGGCGACGACGGGUAGCCGGCCUGAGAGGGUGACCGGCCACACUGGGACUGAGACACGGCCCAGACUCCUACGGGAGGCAGCAGUGGGGAAUAUUGCACAAUGGGCGCGAGCCUGAUGCAGCAACGCCGCGUGAGGGAUGACGGCCUUCGGGUUGUAAACCUCUUUUAGUAGGGAAGAAGCGAAAGUGACGGUACCUGCAGAAAAAGCACCGGCUAACUACGUGCCAGCCGCCGCGGUAA